This 297-nucleotide unclassified non-coding RNA is filed under the name uncultured Trichaptum. RNAcentral describes it as "partial contains 5.8S ribosomal RNA, internal transcribed spacer 2, and large subunit ribosomal RNA". The stretch from base 1 to 52 matches the Rfam family "5.8S ribosomal RNA", at positions 103 to 154 of the family's 154-position model. The record is from RNAcentral. Lineage: Eukaryota; Fungi; Basidiomycota; Agaricomycetes; Polyporales; Polyporaceae.
AACGCACCUUGCGCUCCUUGGUAUUCCGAGGAGCAUGCCUGUUUGAGUGUCAUGUUAAUAUCAACCCCGUCGGUUUGUAAGUCAGACCGUUGGGUGUUGGACUUGGAGGUUCUUGCUGGCUGCAAAGUCGGCUCCUCUUGAAUGCAUUAGCUUGGGCCUGUUGUGCGUGCUCGCGGUGUAAUAAGUUUUAUUCAUCGUUUGGGUCGUACACUUAUUGGGCUUGCUUCUAACUGUCUUCGGACAAAUAUAACCUUUGACUCUGACCUCAAAUCAGGUAGGACUACCCGCUGAACUUAA